Molecule: unclassified non-coding RNA, 209 nt
Filed under: Hevea brasiliensis (rubber tree)
Lineage: Eukaryota; Viridiplantae; Streptophyta; Magnoliopsida; Malpighiales; Euphorbiaceae
Source: RNAcentral
CCAUUGAAUUUGAAUACAAACGUAAGGAAUUCAAACAAAGAUGAGGCGAAUUCGGUUACAAAAGAGGCAAAAUUGAGCGCAAAUGGAGCUAAUUCUGUUCCGGUUGCUGACAAUGGGAAGUUUGAUGAUGGUGAUGAUGAUGAUGAUGGGUGGGAGUUCAAGGAUUCACAACCCAAAACUCAUGAGAUUUCUAAGGCAAACCAAAUCAA